This 496-nucleotide ribosomal RNA is filed under the name uncultured bacterium. Its description in RNAcentral is "partial 16S ribosomal RNA". It matches the Rfam family "Bacterial small subunit ribosomal RNA", at positions 28 to 507 of the family's 1533-position model. The record is from RNAcentral.
GACGAACGCUGGCGGCGUGCCUAAUACAUGCAAGUCGAACGCUGAAGAGAGGAGCUUGCUCUUCUUGGAUGAGUUGCGAACGGGUGAGUAACGCGUAGGUACCUGCCUUGUAGCGGGGGAUAACUAUUGGAAACGAUAGCUAAUACCGCAUAACAAUGGAUGACACAUGUCAUUUAUUUGAAAGGGGCAAUUGCUCCACUACAAGAUGGACCUGCGUUGUAUUAGCUAGUAGGUGAGGUAAUGGCUCACCUAGGCGACGAUACAUAGCCGACCUGAGAGGGUGAUCGGCCACACUGGGGCUGAGACACGGCCCAGACUCCUACGGGAGGCAGCAGUAGGGAAUCUUCGGCAAUGGGGGCAACCCUGACCGAGCAACGCCGCGUGAGUGAAGAAGGUUUUCGGAUCGUAAAGCUCUGUUGUAAGUCAAGAACGGGUGUGAGAGUGGAAAGUUCACACUGUGACGGUAGCUUACCAGAAAGGGACGGCUAACUACGUG